Molecule: ribosomal RNA, 139 nt
Filed under: Fusarium oxysporum
Lineage: Eukaryota; Fungi; Ascomycota; Sordariomycetes; Hypocreales; Nectriaceae
Description: partial large subunit ribosomal RNA
Source: RNAcentral
AAGCGUUUAUGACCAGACUUGGGCUUGGUUAAUCAUCUGGGGUUCUCCCCAGUGCACUUUUCCAGUCCAGGCCAGCAUCAGUUUUCCCCGGGGGAUAAAGGCGGCGGGAAUGUGGCCCUCUUCGGGGAGUGUUAUAGCC